Molecule: ribosomal RNA, 492 nt
Filed under: uncultured bacterium
Lineage: Bacteria
Description: partial 16S ribosomal RNA
Rfam family: Bacterial small subunit ribosomal RNA
Source: RNAcentral
AGUGAACGCUGGCGGUAGGCCUAACACAUGCAAGUCGAACGGCAGCACAGUAAGAGCUUGCUCUUACGGGUGGCGAGUGGCGGACGGGUGAGGAAUACAUCGGACUCUACUUUUUCGUGGGGGUUAACGUAGGGAAACUUACGCUAAUACCGCAUACGACCUACGGGUGAAAGCAGGGGAUCUUCGGACCUUGCGCGAUUGAAUGAGCCGAUGUCGUAUUAGCUAGUUGGCGGGGUAAAGGCCCACCAAGGCGACGAUCCGUAGCUGGUCUGAGAGGAUGAUAAGCCACACUGGAACUGAGACACGGUCCAGACUACUACGGGAGGCAGCAGUGGGGAAUAUUGGACAAUGGGCGCAAGCCUGAUCCAGCCAUACCGCGUGGGUGAAGAAGGCCUUCGGGUUGUAAAGCCCUUUUGUUGGGAAAGAAAAGCAGCAGGUUAAUACGCCGCUGUUCUGACGGUACCCAAAGAAUAAGCACCGGCUAACUUCGUG